GGGGAUAUGGCGAAAUCGGUAGACGCUACGGACUGUUGAAAUUUGAAAAAAGAAUCAAAUAUUCAUUCAUCAAAUCAUUCACUCCAUAGUCUGAUAGAUCUUUUGAAGAGCUGAUUAAUCGGACGAGAAUAAAGAUAGAGUCCCAUUCUACAUGUCAAUACUGACAACAAUGAAAUUUAUAGUAAGAGGAAAAUCCGUCGACUUUUAAAAUCGUGAGGGUUCAAGUCCCUCUAUCCCCA
Molecule: transfer RNA, 239 nt
Filed under: Achyranthes bidentata
Lineage: Eukaryota; Viridiplantae; Streptophyta; Magnoliopsida; Caryophyllales; Amaranthaceae
Description: tRNA-Leu
Source: RNAcentral